UACGUAGGGUGCAAGCGUUAAUCGGAAUUACUGGGCGUAAAGCGUGCGCAGGCGGUUUUGUAAGUUUGUCGUGAAAUCCCCGGGCUCAACCUGGGAAUUGCGAUGGAGACUGCAAGGCUAGAAUCUGGCAGAGGGGGGUAGAAUUCCACGUGUAGCAGUGAAAUGCGUAGAGAUGUGGAGGAACACCGAUGGCGAAGGCAGCCCCCUGGGUCAAGAUUGACGCUCAUGCACGAAAGCGUGGGGGAGCAAACAGG
This 254-nucleotide ribosomal RNA is filed under the name uncultured bacterium. Its description in RNAcentral is "partial 16S ribosomal RNA". It matches the Rfam family "Bacterial small subunit ribosomal RNA", at positions 524 to 776 of the family's 1533-position model. The record is from RNAcentral.